This 336-nucleotide unclassified non-coding RNA is filed under the name uncultured fungus. Its description in RNAcentral is "partial contains small subunit ribosomal RNA, internal transcribed spacer 1, and 5.8S ribosomal RNA". The stretch from base 1 to 73 matches the Rfam family "Eukaryotic small subunit ribosomal RNA", at positions 1759 to 1831 of the family's 1831-position model. Lineage: Eukaryota; Fungi. The record is from RNAcentral.
ACAAACUUGGUCAUUUAGAGGAAGUAAAAGUCGUAACAAGGUUUCCGUAGGUGAACCUGCGGAAGGAUCAUUAUUGAAACAUUGUAAAGGAAAGUUGAGCUGGCUCUUCACGAGCAUGUGCUUGCUUUUCUUUCAAUCUUCAUCCACCUGUGCACUUUUUGUAGAGAGUUUGAGAAAGAGACCGUCAGGUUUCAAGUAUCAGGCUUUCUAUGUAUUUACAAACUCUGAAUGUAUGUCGUUGAAUGUCUUUUACAAAGGUACUUAAUUGAACCUUUUAAAAACUAUACAACUUUCAGCAACGGAUCUCUUGGCUCUCGCAUCGAUGAAGAACGCAGC